UACGAAGGGGGCUAGCGUUGCUCGGAAUCACUGGGCGUAAAGCGCACGUAGGCGGCUUCUUAAGUCAGGGGUGAAAUCCUGGAGCUCAACUCCAGAACUGCCUUUGAUACUGAGGAGCUCGAGUCCGGGAGAGGUGAGUGGAACUCCGAGUGUAGAGGUGAAAUUCGUAGAUAUUCGGAGGAACACCAGUGGCGAAGGCGGCUCACUGGCUCGAUACUGACGCUGAGGUGCGAAAGCGUGGGGAGCAAACAGG
RNAcentral lists this ribosomal RNA (253 nucleotides) under uncultured bacterium. RNAcentral describes it as "partial 16S ribosomal RNA". It matches the Rfam family "Bacterial small subunit ribosomal RNA", at positions 524 to 776 of the family's 1533-position model. The record is from RNAcentral.